This 72-nucleotide transfer RNA is filed under the name Camelus bactrianus (Bactrian camel). It matches the Rfam family "tRNA". From Rfam's summary of the family: Transfer RNA (tRNA) molecules are approximately 80 nucleotides in length. Their secondary structure includes four short double-helical elements and three loops (D, anti-codon, and T loops). The record is from Rfam by way of RNAcentral. RNAcentral also lists the same sequence under 1 other name. Lineage: Eukaryota; Metazoa; Chordata; Mammalia; Artiodactyla; Camelidae.
GAGGGUAGAGCUUAGUGGUAGAGCCUAUGCUUAACACACACGAGAUCCUGGAUUCAAUCCCCAGUACCUCUA